Molecule: ribosomal RNA, 259 nt
Filed under: uncultured Leptotrichia sp.
Lineage: Bacteria; Fusobacteriati; Fusobacteriota; Fusobacteriia; Fusobacteriales; Leptotrichiaceae
Description: partial 16S ribosomal RNA
Rfam family: Bacterial small subunit ribosomal RNA
Source: RNAcentral
UGGCGGACGGGUGAGUAACGCGUAAAGAACUUGCCCUUUAGACUGGGAUAACAGAGGGAAACUUCUGAUAAUACUGGAUAAGUUAGUAUAUCGCAUGAUAUGCAAAUGAAAGCUACGGCACUAAAGGAGAGCUUUGCGUCCUAUUAGCUAGUUGGUAAGGUAAGAGCUUACCAAGGCGAUGAUAGGUAGCCGGCCUGAGAGGGUGGACGGCCACAAGGGGACUGAGAUACGGCCCUUACUCCUACGGGAGGCAGCAGAG